Molecule: ribosomal RNA, 492 nt
Filed under: uncultured bacterium
Lineage: Bacteria
Description: partial 16S ribosomal RNA
Rfam family: Bacterial small subunit ribosomal RNA
Source: RNAcentral
AGUGAACGCUGGCGGUAGGCCUAACACAUGCAAGUCGAACGGCAGCACAGUAAGAGCUUGCUCUUACGGGUGGCGAGUGGCGGACGGGUGAGGAAUACAUCGGAAUCUACUUUUUCGUGGGGGAUAACGUAGGGGAACUUACGCUAAUACCGCAUACGACGUACGGGUGAAAGCAGGGGAUCUUCGGACCUUGCGCGAGUGAAUGAGCCGAUGUCGGAUUAGCUAGUUGGCGGGGUAAAGGCCCACCAAGGCGACGAUCCGUAGCUGGUCUGAGAGGAUGAUCAGCCACACUGGAACUGAGACACGGUCCAGACUCCUACGGGAGGCAGCAGUGGGGAAUAUUGGACAAUGGGCGCAAGCCUGAUCCAGCCAUACCGCGUGGGUGAAGAAGGCCUUCGGGUUGUAAAGCCCUUUUGUUGGGAAAGAAAAGCAGCAGGUUAAUACCCCGCUGUUCUGACGGUACCCAAAGAAUAAGCACCGGCUAACUUCGUG